CGGGAAUGACGAUGGGUACAUAAGCGAAGGCGAGAUGGAUGAUCUUGUUGAAUACGUUUGGCAAUGUGUUUACACCGUUUCCUAACUAAUUAAUCUCAUGAUAACCAUUGGGGCUUGGGAUUUGGCAACUGGCGAGAGAAAAGCAUUUUAGCUCUCCCUACCAAGUUCCUUAUUAUUAUUUUUAAACUACUAUGGUAAUUUCUGUAUUUCAGAGAGAAAUCCCAAGAAUUUUGGGCAUCUAUUACUUU
RNAcentral lists this long non-coding RNA (248 nucleotides) under Gossypium raimondii (Peruvian cotton). RNAcentral's name for it is "long non-coding RNA (GRAI_LNC003611)". The record is from RNAcentral. Lineage: Eukaryota; Viridiplantae; Streptophyta; Magnoliopsida; Malvales; Malvaceae.